GUGACGCUAGGCAUUCAGCCCAUGGCAGCACCAGGAGUAGACGUUCCAGAUUUGGUUCUAGAAGAAUGAACAAGAUACAGGAUGCUGUACUCUGACAAGAGGCUGCAGCACAAAGGAGCAAGGAUACUCUAAAUAACAUGACAGCCAUGAUGCAGUGGCAAGUCAACAGGCAAUUCAGAAAGGAUCGUGAGGCUGCUAUUGCAAGAAUUCCAAACCCAGAUAUUGUGGUCCAGUAGCUAGGAAGGAUCCUCACCGAUAAACAGAACAAAAGUGUAUAUAUAUAUAUAUAUAUAAUAUGACUACUACCAAACUUGUACCGGGGAAACAAUCCAAUCGGGGAAUUCUUUGACUAGACCACAUGGAAGAAUCCUCAAUUGACCAUGUGGCUAGGGAACGAGCCGUCCAACAGGGGGACUAGCUCACCAGCAUAUACAACAGAAUCCUCAAUACUCGUACGUCUGUGACAAGUCCUACGCGUGCAGACUAACCCCGCUAAGGGUCUACAAAACACCCUGUCAAGGGUGCCCCGGUUCCGACAUAUCCAAGUAUCCCAAAAGUUUCCAAGUAUCCAAUCCAUGUAUUCCAAAACAAGGGAGGUACAAAGGGUAGUGCUAAUAGCACUUCAAACUGACAUAAACCACAACCCAACUCACAUUCCAUAAUCCCUUUCCCACAAACCCAUGUACCUCACACAUAUCCAAG
This 702-nucleotide long non-coding RNA is filed under the name Prunus persica (peach). RNAcentral's name for it is "long non-coding RNA (PPER_LNC004575)". Lineage: Eukaryota; Viridiplantae; Streptophyta; Magnoliopsida; Rosales; Rosaceae. The record is from RNAcentral.